GCCCCUUCCUCUUGGGAAAUGUGCUGAUCUCCACACCAGGAUCUAAUCAACUGUUUGCAUGCUAAUCUCCAGCCCAGACUCAACCUAUGAGGAUGUCAGUCUGCUGCUAAGGGCUGCUAAGAUUAGUGGACUGGUCAGAGUUGGUAUACCCGGGUGAUGAUCUCUAGGGACAGUGGUAGGAACUGAGACUAAAGGCAGGAAGGUGAUGUCAGCAGAGCAACCAAGAGAGUCACAGGGAGAACUGGGAUCAACAGAGGUCAUUAGAGUGCCGCACAGCCCUGGCCACCAAGCAUCAGCCUGCCAUGGCCAUCUGAGAUGCUUUUAGCUGUAGUGGGGAGGUGGUGGUGGGAGUGGGUCACCCUUCAGAUAUCACACUGUUGGGGGCUCGCACCAGCAUGGAUGUUGUGAUGCAUGUUGGCCUCGGUCAUGGCCAUACAUUAGACUCACUUAAAAAUACUGAUUCCAGGACCAUGCCUUGAGAGAUACUGAUGUAAUUGAUCUGUGGUAAGGCCUAGGUCUUGGUAUGUUUUAAAUGUUCACUGGGGAUUUCUAACAUGCAACUAGAAUUGAGAACUACCGGUAUGGUGAAAACAUGAUGAGUGCUGGAAUCAGAGUUGGGUUUGAAUCUGGUCCUAUCAGUGACUGGGGAACUACAGGCUGUGAUUAAUUAUUCUGAGCUUCCAUUUCCUCAUCUGUAAAAAUCAUGUAAAUAAUGUGUAUUUCAUAGAAAUGUCAUAAGGGUGACAUGCUACUAGUAAUAACACUGAUGGUGAUAACAGCUUUCAGUCCAUGGAGCUUUUUGUGAUCAACAUUAUUACUAUUUGUGUUCAGACUUAGCUUUUUGUCCUUCCUUCUCCAGGGUGUAGCACCCUAUGGUAGACUUGCCUUCCUUAGCCCCUACUCUACUGUGAGGGAGUCCUCUCUCCUUGCCCUGGUUUCAGCUACUCAGGGUUCAGCAAAUUGGCUGCUGCAGCUCAGUGGAAAACCAGUGACUCUCUUGGGGUUGACCAGAUGACCAAACAUUGGCACCCAUGAUCACACUCUUGUUCAUAUCCAGAACAACUCAUGCAGCAGCUCAGCCCUUCAGGAUGACACUGGUCAGUGUGUGGCUGCUAUGUGGAAAACCAGGCAGGGCAGGGGCUGCUCAUUCACAGGGGCAGCAAGAAGGUUCAGGAUGCUUAGAGGACUUCCUCAGAAAUGUACCAGUUGCUGUGUGGCUUUGGACAAGUCCUUUUUCCUCUCUGUGCCUCAGUUUCUUGCUCUGUAAAACACAGAUGGCUGAUCUGGACAAACAACAAUUCUAUUCAGUUUGAUGCUGCUGGUUCUGCCACUCCCCUUCUACCCCAGGAGAUGCCUUGGGGGGCUGGCAUCAUCUCUGCCUUCUUCCACAGAGACUCUGAUGCUACAGGGUGGGGCUCUGAGAAAUGCCACUUCAGAGCAGGGCCCUGAGAGUCUGUUCUGGUCACUGCCCACACUGGCUUUCCUCACUCCUGCCCCCAAGGGUUAUACGUUUCCCCAUUUCUCCUCCUGCCACCUAGAACUUUAAAUAGCCUCCAGCACACUAUGUGGCUGCCAGAAGUUGUAAUUAAAUAAUGUCCAGCUGUCAGAAAAGCUGUUAUAAAUGGUCCUUUUGUCUGCACCACUGUCUGGGAAACCAGGAAGGAGAGAAACUAGGGGGUUAUAAAUAUGAAGGGCAGAAGUUCAGUGGGGAGUCCGGGGAAAGCAGCUUUUAGGGACCCUGAAAACACUGGAGGAAUUAAAAGAAAAAGUGUAAUUAGUCUAUGGCAGAGGCCCCAGCUCUGGCUCUGUGACUGGAUUUGCACAUUGGGUAGCCUGAAAAUAAUUUGGGAAGCUAAUGUCUUUAUCUGGAGCUGCAAUUAACAUCUCCUUUUAAAAUCCAGACAGGAAAGCAAAAAGGGCACAAUGAGUGCUGGCAAUCCAGAGAAAGUUCUCGGAUCAACUUUCAUUAUUUUUCACCUCCUUUUCUUCCUUCCUUUAGUCCUUCCUUCCUCUCUUUCAACAAACACACUUGAAUCCCUGCCCUUACUAGCCCUUCUACCUCUAGAGUUCCUGCACUUCACCUUCUACCCCCACAGCCACCUUUGUUGGUGCCAUACCUGACCCUGUCUCCUAGGGGCGGGCCAGGAUCUCAGUCCUCUCUCCAUCAAAAUAUGCCCAACCUGGGAGCCACUUGCACCUUCUUUUUGUGCUGCAGAAUCUGUCAGUGGAUCUCUUGGAGUGCCCAGAGAUUUUUCACUAAAUGAGGAAUAGGGAGAGGAAAUGCACAUUUAUUAACCAUGUAUUAAGUAUUAAAUAAUUUACACACAUUAUUCCACUUAAAUUUCCCAACACUCCUAGGAGAAAAUUAUUAUGAAGCCCAGUAUUGUAAAUGAGGAAACUGAGGCUCUUUGAGAUGAAACAACUUUUCCAAGUUACACAGCCAGUAAUUAAAGGACUGGAGAUUAGAAAACUCAGUCUCUAAACUCCAUGAGGGCAGAGGCUGUGUCUGUUUUGUGCAUUGUCUUGCUAGGGCACUGCAUGGUGCCUGGCACAUAGAGACCUUGAGAAAUAUUCAGAGAAGAAAGAAAGGAAACAGAAGAAGGAGAAAAAUGGAAAACAACUCAGCUCUGUCAGAUGCCAAAGCCAGUGAUCUUUCUAUCGUGGCAUAUAGUCUCUGUAGAGUACAGACAGGCAGUUAUGAAUUAGAGAGAUGUACAUAAUAGUUGGGGGAAAGUGAUUGUUAAAAUGUGUGCAAAAAUAACAUGAUUAGAAAGCAGAAGAUUGGUUUCAAGGAUCAUUGGGGAGGUGGAGUGAGAGUGCCGUGGGGGUUCAGAGGAUGGAGGGAUUGAUUGCAGCUACAGGAAUGGGCAGACUUCAUGAGGGAGGCAGAGUUUGAGCCUCGAAGGAUGAGUAGGAUUUGGACACAGAGAGAUGGUGGUCAGGGAAGGUUGAGAAAACAGAAGGGAUGGGGAGAAACAUAAAUUAUCUGUCUGGAAGGGGAUAGACCAGUAGUUAGGCAUUUGAGUCUCCAUGGUGUCCUUGCGUGGCUAUUAGGGAUGAAUCUGGCUGUGAAGUCCUCCAUCUGGGCAUUCUGAGACAUUCACUGACAGAUUCUACAACACAGAAAAUGUGUGGGUGACUCCCAGGAUGUGCAUAUUUUGCUAGGGAGAGGACUUAGAUCCUGGCCUGCCCCUAGGAGACCCGGUCAGGCGCAGCGCCAACAAAAAUGGCUGUAGGGGUGGAAGGUGAAGCGCAGGGACUCUGGAGAGAGAGGGGCUAGUAAGGGCAAGGGCUUUGACUUCACUUCUGCUCCUCCUGUGUUCCUCAGCAUUCUUCAACCUGCCACUCAGCCAACCAGGGCACCUGACUAGUGCCCAGGGACAAUGAAGGGUUGUUGAGGCUGUUGUUGAACUAUUUGUUUUUGUUGUUGUUGUUUUUGUUGUUUUGCUGUGCUGGACAUGCUCUGAGAGCAGCAGGAACACAGAUCAUGGAAGAAAUAGCCCAAUGGUUUGGGGGAUUAUUAAAUAAUCAUAGCCAGGGCACUUUACCUUUAUGGACAGGCUGCCUGGCAGCAUCCUCAAAGGCCAGAUGGGAACUCAUACGACCAUUUUAAGAGACGUGAAUGCUCAUAAUGAGAAGGUCUGCAGUAGAAUGAUUCAAGGUUACUCUAUAAGAGCCCUCUGUACCAAAACGCAGGAGCCCAGUCAUCCCUUUCUGGGGCUGAGGCAAACUCUUGACCACCACAAAACUUUGGCUGUUUCGUUGGUGGGGAGACCUUAAAGCCAGCUUUAGAGCAGGUGUUAUAGACACUUCUCCACAUGAGGGAUUCCAGGACAGGAUGGAUACCAGGCAUGAGUGGGGAUUCUGAAUGUAAUAUAUUUGCCAUCAGGGCUAGGCAGGUGUCCUGCUACCUGGACAGGCAGCCUUGAGCACAUCUCUAAAUUCUUCUGGGCCCUGGUUUUCUAUUCACAAACAUUGAUUCAAGAAGUUCCUUGUGAGGACCUGCUGUAUGCCAGGUAGGCUCUGGGGGCAGGCAGCAAACAAAAGUCCAUGAUCUCUGUCCUCAUGGAGCUUCUAGUCUAGUGGAAAUAAGCAAGUAAUCACACAAAUGCACACAUUAUUGCAGUUUGCAAUAAAUGAUAUGAUGGGAAAAAACAAGGUGCUAUGGGAGAAACUUUUAGGGAGGGGAAUAAGGGAAGACCUCUUUGAGGAAGCGACUUAUAGCUGAUACCUGAAGGGUAAGUUAUCUGAGUCAUAUUCAGAGGAAGAGCUCUUUCAAAGGCCCUGUGGAUGGGAAAAGAUUUGUAUACUUGAGGAGCUGCAGUUAAGCCUGCAUGGCCAGAAACAGUGAUCAAGGUGCAAAAUGGAGUGGCAUGAGGCUGGGGUGGAGGACAAGAGAAGGGCCAGUGAUGCAUCAGCCCAUCGAUCAGAAGGAUUCGGGACUUACCCCCGUGAUUGUUGGGAGACCAUCGCUCAAUUUUAAACAGGAGUGUAAUGAUUGGAUUCACAUGCUAAAAAUAAAAUAAACAAUAAGAGAUGGAAAAACAACAACCAAGCUUCAAAAAUACUUGAGCCUCUGUACAGGGGAAAACAAAGAUUUGAACAAGUAUUUUCAUGUUGCAGAAUCUACCCCAUGGGAAUAAUCUGCUAGCAGAACAAAGAAUUAUGUAUGAAAGUAUCCAUUAUAGUUAAAAAGACCAAAACCAUUCUGGCUGCUGUGUGAAGGGAAUAAACACUAAUAAGUCUUGCCUGCUUCGGAAUCAAAUGAGAGAAAACUAUGAAAGGGCUUUGUAAGUGGUAAUAUGGGUACACGUUUGAGAGGGACCCAAAAUCUCCCCAUCCUCCAACUCUCCAUCCUCCCCCAAUAAAAUGCUGAUUAUCCCAGGAGUUUAAGGCUUUAAAUCUAUUAAAGGGGAAAUGUCCCAGGGAGGCUCACUCUUUGAGCUAAGCAAGACAAAGGCAGAGCCUCAGCCCCAAAGGGACUAGAAGCAGUGAUUCUCAACCCUGGCUGUACACUAGAGAUACCUGGUAUGGAGCUAGCCUUGAAAAUGGCCCCCAAAGAACCUUACUCCCUUGUGUACCAGCCCUUGUGUAGUCCCUCCUAUACUGAAUAUGACUAUCCUAUGUAACCAAGAGGACAUUGUGGAAAUGAUGGAGUGUGACUUUCAAGGCUGGGCCAUAAAACACACCGUGGCUCUGUCUUUCUGUCUCUUUCUUGGAUUAUUUGCUGUGGAAAAAGCCAGCAGCCAUGUUGUCAGGAUGCUCAAUCAACCUUGUGGAGGGGUCCAUGUGGCAAGUAACUGAGGUCUCCUAACAACAGCCAUAUGAAAGAACCUUGUGGAAAGAGAUCUUCCAGCCUCCAGCUGACAUCUUACCUGCAACCUCAUAGGAUACCCUGAGCCUAAACUACCUAGCUACACCAUUCUCUAGCUUCCUGAUCCACAGAGAUGGUGAGACAACACAUACGUUUUGUUUUAAGUCAUUUUUUUGGAGUAAUUUGCUAUAUAGUAUUAGAUAACCAAUGCUCCUGGGGAGCUUUAAAAAAUCUAUGCACAAGUCAUAUCCCCAGAAAUUCUGAUUCAUUUGGUCUGGGGUGAAGUCUAGGCGUUGGUAUGUUUAAAAGCCCUCAGAUGACUCUAAUGUGCAUCCAGGAUUGAGAACCACUGCAUUAGAGAAUCGAGUGAGUAAGUCAACAAAGCAGGGAUUAGGUAUAGGGUAUUGCCUCAAUUUCCAGGGCUAAAACUUGGUUUACGCUGUGAGUUCUACUCUGGGAUAAGUCUAAAGCCUAGUGUGGAUCAGAGCCCAGGGUCACAGUGGGCUGAUAGUCAGUUGUCUCAGUGUCCACAGUUUCUGUGGAUCCCUAAAUUUCCCUUAGGACACAGGGAAGGAAAUCAAGUGGCCUCAUUGGAGGGAAGAAGAGAGGUCCAGAGCCAGUCAGGUAAAUCCACUUUCCACAGUCCAUAGCUUUGACCCAUGAACCCUCCCUGCAGUCCUCCACCUUUGGAAUGCAGGUGUGCCGGAUGCCCACUUCUCCACUGACGGACAGCCCUCUACCUUCCUCCCACCCACCAUUGUUUUCUGUCCAGACCACGUUCCUGUCUCUGAAUGUUCUCUUUGUAACUUAUGAGCAAUGAUGACAGCUGAUUCUGAAAACCUUUGUCUGUCCUCAAAUUUCCAUGACUAAUGAGACACUGUUCCCAUCUCUGCACAAUAACUCAGGGGGCUCGGCUGUCUCUUUGUACUCCCUCAUGUUAUCAUCCUGAUGAAACCUGCAAUAAAGUAAUUAAAGUGAUUAGAAAGGGAGUCCUAGCAGAUGAAGAUGCUGAGGAGAUGGUCAGAUAUUGUGAGCUCACCCAGGUGAUCUCAGCCCUGUGUGUCAGGGUAAGGUGUCUGGUCUCCUGGAACUCUCUUGUGAAUGGAUGCUAGUACCAACUUGCAUCUGUGGGGUACCAAUGAUUUCAGAAGCAUUUUAGACAUUUUUUUUUUAGCACUUGUAACAUGGUAGGUGUAGAAGAUACAGAAUUUAAUAAAACCCUCUUCUUGUUCUCAAGGAGCUUUUGGCUUAGUAGAGACAAAUAAGAGAUAAGAUAAGACUAUGAUGAAUACUUUCCUUGGGGGCUGAGAGAGCACAGAGGAGAAGUACCUUGUUCAGCCUAGGUAGUUUUUUGUUUUGUUUUGUUUUGUCUUUUUUUGUUUUUUUGAGACAGAGUCUCGCUCUGUCGCCCAGG
RNAcentral lists this long non-coding RNA (6728 nucleotides) under Homo sapiens (human). Its description in RNAcentral is "HSALNT0239547". The record is from RNAcentral. Lineage: Eukaryota; Metazoa; Chordata; Mammalia; Primates; Hominidae.